Molecule: non-coding RNA, 95 nt
Filed under: Sphingobacterium spiritivorum
Lineage: Bacteria; Pseudomonadati; Bacteroidota; Sphingobacteriia; Sphingobacteriales; Sphingobacteriaceae
Description: Sphingobacterium sp. TPP sequence
Rfam family: TPP riboswitch aptamer (THI element)
About the family: Vitamin B(1) in its active form thiamin pyrophosphate (TPP) is an essential coenzyme that is synthesised by coupling of pyrimidine and thiazole moieties in bacteria. The previously detected thiamin-regulatory element, thi box was extended, resulting in a new, highly conserved RNA secondary structure, the THI element, which is widely distributed in eubacteria and also occurs in some archaea. Analysis of operon structures identified a large number of new candidate thiamin-regulated genes, mostly transporters, in various prokaryotic organisms.
Source: RNAcentral
GGAAACAUUUUGGGGUGAUUUGAAAAAGUCUGAGAAUAUACCCACAGAACCUGAUCCAGGUAAUGCUGGCGAAGGAAGAAAUGUUUCCUGGGGUU